Molecule: ribosomal RNA, 253 nt
Filed under: uncultured bacterium
Lineage: Bacteria
Description: partial 16S ribosomal RNA
Rfam family: Bacterial small subunit ribosomal RNA
Source: RNAcentral
UACGUAGGGGGCUAGCGUUGUCCGGAAUCAUUGGGCGUAAAGAGCGUGUAGGCGGCUCGGUAAGUCCGCUGUAAAAGUCAAAGGCUCAACCUUUGAAUGUCAGUGGAUACUGCCGGGCUAGAGUCCGGAAGAGGCGAGUGGAAUUCCUGGUGUAGCGGUGAAAUGCGCAGAUAUCAGGAGGAACACCGAUGGCGAAGGCAGCUCGCUGGGACGGUACUGACGCUGAGACGCGAAAGCGUGGGGAGCAAACAGG